RNAcentral lists this ribosomal RNA (253 nucleotides) under uncultured bacterium. Its description in RNAcentral is "partial 16S ribosomal RNA". It matches the Rfam family "Bacterial small subunit ribosomal RNA", at positions 524 to 776 of the family's 1533-position model. The record is from RNAcentral.
UACGUAGGGUGCGAGCGUUGUCCGGAAUUAUUGGGCGUAAAGAGCUCGUAGGCGGUUUGUCACGUCUGCUGUGAAAUCCCGAGGCUCAACCUGGGAACCGCGCUUGAGACUGGCACACUCGAGUUCGGGAGAGGAUGGUGGAAUUCCCAGUGUAGAGGUGAAAUUCGUAGAUAUUGGGAAGAACACCGAUGGCGAAGGCAGCCAUCUGGACCGACACUGACGCUGAGGCGCGAAAGCGUGGGGAGCAAACAGG